Oncorhynchus tshawytscha (Chinook salmon) is the source of this 1516-nucleotide long non-coding RNA. RefSeq lists it as uncharacterized. Lineage: Eukaryota; Metazoa; Chordata; Actinopteri; Salmoniformes; Salmonidae. The record is from RefSeq and is a predicted model, not a curated record. The transcript is spliced from 5 exons.
AAACAUGGGGUCGGCCAAAUAAAAUCACCCGUGGGCCAAAUUCAUCCCACGGUCUGCCAGUUGGGGAACCCUGGUGUAGGGGAUAAUUAGACCCUCCGAUAGCCUCUUAGACCAAGCGAGCAAGGCUUCUAUAUGUUCAGGGCAGGAGAGCAUUAGGCCCCAGCACACAGGGCCUAACAGGUCCACCAGCGCCAGCCUCAACAGGGGCAGCACCUGGACCAGCCUCCACACACCAAGCUCAGCCUCAAAAGGCUCAGCCCAGUCUCAACAGGGGUUGUACCAGGCCUAGACUAAAUACCCUCAGCCCAGCUUCAACAGGGGUAGUCCCAGGCUCAGCCUCAACAUCCUUAGACCUUCCUCAACAGGGGUAGCACCAAGCCCUGCUUCAACACUCCCUGCCCAGCCUCAACAAGGGGGUGGGGGUGUUAUGAUCACUACUGGCUUCUUCUCAUGGAACUGGCACAAUGAAAAGAGACCUGGUGUUUGGGAAAGAAGACUGAAACCUCCUGCUCCGACUGAGGAGGAUGAAGAACAAGGUGCGCUGCCUAUGGACUGUGCCACCUCUGAUUAGGUCCAGACACAUGAUUACUGUGCAGCCCCUGAAACCCGCAGCCCUGGACACGGCCCUAAUGGCAAAUCAUGAGCACGUAAGAGUAAUUGAGGAGCUUCGAGCCAAGCUGGAGUAACUGACUGCCCAACACGGCUUUGGUGCGAUUUUCUGGUUCUGACGAGGAUAUGCAUUUUUACACAAGAUUUGCAAUCUACACUCACCUGAUGGCCUUCUGGCACUUGACUGAGCGGGCAGCAGAGACCAAGUUUAUAAGUCACAAGCACCAAUCCAUCUGAAACAAGUGUUACUCGAAAAAACCGAUACUGCCAUCAAUCGACGAGUUCUUCUUGUUUAUGACUCAUCUGUCGCUGGGUCUGAAGCAGAAAGAUUUGGCCCAUUGGUUCAGCAUCCACCAAUCGACAGGGAGCCGGAUUAUCAUCUCUUGGGCCAACUUCCUCUACUGUCUGCUUGGAUCAGCACGGAUAUGGAUCCCCAGGGAAAGUUCAAGGACUAUCCAGACACCCAGAUAGUGAUCGACUGCACUGAACUCCGCUGCCAGACAACAUCUUCACUACUAUGGCAGAGUGAGGUGUUUUCUUCCUGUUGCAGGAAUUAAAUUCCUCGGUUUUAAUACCCAAUUAAAAUGAAUCAUUCAUAAGGGUUUGUAAGACCCUUAUUUGUAUAAAAUGGACAGAGACCAGUCUUUGAAAUCAACCAGCUGCGUUUAUUCUCGUGAGUACUGCCCAUUAUACAUUUUAUCACAGGUUAUAAACUGAAAAUGACGUCAGCGUUUUCUAAACUGUUCCGUCUCUUCUCAACACUGGUACAAAGGCUCUAUAGUUCUCAAGCCUUCCCACCUCGCAUAGAGUCAAGGUCAGCCUGUGUAGAUAAACAUUCUAGCCAGUCUGGCGAUAUAGUUCAUUCAUUUCUACCAAGGAACAGACAGUCAUUGUUCUAAUUCUUGAU